RNAcentral lists this ribosomal RNA (407 nucleotides) under uncultured bacterium. Its description in RNAcentral is "partial 16S ribosomal RNA". It matches the Rfam family "Bacterial small subunit ribosomal RNA", at positions 28 to 526 of the family's 1533-position model. The record is from RNAcentral.
GACGAACGCUGGCGGCGUGCCUAAUACAUGCAAGUAGGACGCAGUUGCGAACGGGUGAGUAACGAGUAGGUAACUACCUAUUAGAGGGGGAUAAAUAUUGGAAACGAUAGCUAAUACCGCAUACUAGUAGGUGGACCUGCGUUGUAUUAGCUAGUAGGUAGGGUAAUGGCCUACCAAGGCAACGAUCCAUAGCCGACCUUAGGAGGUGGACGGCCACACUGGGACGGAGGCACGGGCCAGACGCCUACGGGUGGCAACAGGAGGGAAGCUUCGGCAAUGGGGGGAACCCUGACCGAGCAACUCCGCGUGAGUGAAGAAGGUUUUCGGGUCGUAAAGCUCUGUUGUUAAGGGAGCGGUCCUUACCCAGAAAGGGACGGCUAACUACGUGCCAGCAGCCGCGGUAAUAC